RNAcentral lists this ribosomal RNA (896 nucleotides) under uncultured bacterium. RNAcentral's name for it is "bacterial SSU rRNA". It matches the Rfam family "Bacterial small subunit ribosomal RNA", at positions 8 to 889 of the family's 1533-position model. The record is from RNAcentral.
AGAGUUUGAUCCUGGCUCAGAUUGAACGCUAGGCGGCAGGCCUAAUCACAUGUCGAAGUCGAGCGGUACCUGAUGACGUAAGCUUGCUUCUCUUGAGAGCGGCGGACGGGUGAGUAAUGCCUAGGAAUCUGCCUGGUAGUGGGGGAUAACGCUCGGAAACGGACGCUAAUACCGCAUACGUCCUACGGGAGAAAGCAGGGGACCUUCGGGCCUUGCGCUAUCAGAUGAGCCUAGGUCGGAUUAGCUAGUUGGUGAGGUAAUGGCUCACCAAGGCGACGAUCCGUAACUGGUCUGAGAGGAUGAUCAGUCACACUGGAACUGAGACACGGUCCAGACUCCUACGGGAGGCAGCAGUGGGGAAUAUUGGACAAUGGGCGAAAGCCUGAUCCAGCCAUGCCGCGUGUGUGAAGAAGGUCUUCGGAUUGUAAAGCACUUUAAGUUGGGAGGAAGGGCAUUAACCUAAUACGUUGGUGUCUUGACGUUACCGACAGAAUAAGCACCGGCUAACUCUGUGCCAGCAGCCGCGGUAAUACAGAGGGUGCAAGCGUUAAUCGGAAUUACUGGGCGUAAAGCGCGCGUAGGUGGUUCGUUAAGUUGGAUGUGAAAUCCCCGGGCUCAACCUGGGAACUGCAUUCAAAACUGACGAGCUAGAGUAUGGUAGAGGGUGGUGGAAUUUCCUGUGUAGCGGUGAAAUGCGUAGAUAUAGGAAGGAACACCAGUGGCGAAGGCGACCACCUGGACUGAUACUGACACUGAGGUGCGAAAGCGUGGGGAGCAAACAGGAUUAGAUACCCUGGUAGUCCACGCCGUAAACGAUGUCAACUAGCCGUUGGGAGCCUUGAGCUCUUAGUGGCGCAGCUAACGCAUUAAGUUGACCGCCUGGGGAGUACGGCCGC